GCUAUACUUGCAGUCGAACGAACUCUGGUAUUGAUUGGUGCUUGCAUCAUGAUUUACAUUUGAGUGAGUGGCGAACUGGUGAGUAACACGUGGGAAACCUGCCCAGAAGCGGGGGAUAACACCUGGAAACAGAUGCUAAUACCGCAUAACAACUUGGACCGCAUGGUCCGAGCUUGAAAGAUGGCUUCGGCUAUCACUUUUGGAUGGUCCCGCGGCGUAUUAGCUAGAUGGUGGGGUAACGGCUCACCAUGGCAAUGAUACGUAGCCGACCUGAGAGGGUAAUCGGCCACAUUGGGACUGAGACACGGCCCAAACUCCUACGGGAGGCAGCAGUAGGGAAUCUUCCACAAUGGACGAAAGUCUGAUGGAGCAACGCCGCGUGAGUGAAGAAGGGUUUCGGCUCGUAAAACUCUGUUGUUAAAGAAGAACAUAUCUGAGAGUAACUGUUCAGGUAUUGACGGUAUUUAACCAGAAAGCCACGGCUAACUACGUGCCAGCAGCCGCGGUAAUACGUAGGUGGCAAGCGUUGUCCGGAUUUAUUGGGCGUAAAGCGAGCGCAGGCGGUUUUUUAAGUCUGAUGUGAAAGCCUUCGGCUCAACCGAAGAAGUGCAUCGGAAACUGGGAAACUUGAGUGCAGAAGAGGACAGUGGAACUCCAUGUGUAGCGGUGAAAUGCGUAGAUAUAUGGAAGAACACCAGUGGCGAAGGCGGCUGUCUGGUCUGUAACUGACGCUGAGGCUCGAAAGUAUGGGUAGCAAACAGGA
RNAcentral lists this ribosomal RNA (763 nucleotides) under Lactiplantibacillus plantarum. RNAcentral describes it as "bacterial SSU rRNA". It matches the Rfam family "Bacterial small subunit ribosomal RNA", at positions 48 to 777 of the family's 1533-position model. The record is from RNAcentral. Lineage: Bacteria; Bacillati; Bacillota; Bacilli; Lactobacillales; Lactobacillaceae.